RNAcentral lists this ribosomal RNA (625 nucleotides) under Pavlova sp. CCMP459. RNAcentral describes it as "partial Bacterial large subunit ribosomal RNA". It matches the Rfam family "Bacterial large subunit ribosomal RNA", at positions 598 to 1215 of the family's 2925-position model. The record is from RNAcentral. Lineage: Eukaryota; Haptophyta; Pavlovophyceae; Pavlovales; Pavlovaceae.
GGCGUGCCUUUUGAAGAAUGAGCCUGCGAGUUAGUGGUAUGUGGCGAGGUUAACCCGUGUGGGGCAGCCGUAGCGAAAGCGAGUCUGAAUAGGGCGAUUCAGUCGCAUGUCCUAGACCCGAAGCGAAGUGAUCUACCCAUGGCCAGGUUGAAGCGCGUGUAAGAGCGCGUGGAGGACCGAACCCACUUCAGUUGAAAAUGGAGGGGAUGAGCUGUGGGUAGGGGUGAAAGGCCAAUCAAACUUCGUGAUAGCUGGUUCUCCCCGAAAUGCAUUUAGGUGCAGCGUCGUGUGUUUCUUGCCAGAGGUAGAGCUACUGGAUGGCUGAUGGGCCCCAACGGGUUACUGACGUCAACCAAACUCCGAAUGCUGGUAAGUGAGAGCACGGCAGUGAGACUGUGGGGGAUAAGCUUCAUAGUCGAAAGGGAAACAGCCCAGACCACCGACUAAGGCCCCUAAGCGUGUGCUAAGUGGGAAAGGAUGUGGAGUUGCUCAGACAACCAGGAGGUUGGCUUAGAAGCAGCCAUCCUUUAAAGAAAGCGUAACAGCUCACUGGUCUAAACAAGGGGUUCUGCGCCGAAGAUGUACCGGGGCUCAAGCCACGAGCCGAAGCUUUGGGUUUGGCGAU